AGCAACAUCUUUUUCAGCGAUGGUCAGGUAUGUUUUCUAUAAUUUCUAUCAAACAAUUACAGUGCCCUCAUAUUCUAUCGCCGAAAAAGUCCUCGUAUCCUCUCAUACCCAAAUAAUAUAUGUGGUGGUGAUGUUCAUGCCACGUUUGGUCUAUUGAUUUGGUCAGAUUUUUGGAGCUUCGUGCUGUGUAUUUUUUCCUCGCCGGUUCAUAAUCUCAAAUAGCUUUAGGACAGGUAAUUACCCCACACCUUACCAUUCCAUGUUUUACCAUCAAUUUUACUGUUGAAGUGCUUUACACAUAGAUAGAAUACUUAUUGUUAGGUGCCGGUUCAGUAAAUUUAAAGAUGAAUGGUGUAUAAACAGCUCACUUGAUGGUUGCCAAAUAGCAAAUUUAUUUAUUCAAGUACGAGUUCUUUGACAACGGUCAAAUUCUCCUUGGUACUUACACAUGUUAGAUGCAGCAAUGUUUCUUGUAUUACAGUUUCUGAACUAUACACAUCAUGUAUAAAGUGUUAAUGGGAAUGAUUUCUUUAAUCAUGUAUAAAGUGUUAAUGGGAAUGAUUUCUUUAAUUAUGUGGUAAGCUAAUUUACACAUAGACAUCAUGCUUACUAUUAGUUGAUGCUUCAGAAUUGAAAGUUGAAUGUUGUAUAAGAAGCUCUGUUGGUGUUUGAUACAUAGUAGUUUGUAAGAGAUCUUUCAAAUAUGGGAUAUCAUGUUCAGUUGGUGCUCGAUACAUAGUAGUUUGUAAGAGAUCUUUCAAAUAUAUGAAAUCAUGUUCGGUAAAAAAGCAGCAAUAUUACCCUUAUAAUUCAAAUAUAUUUGCACAGCAUAUGACAAGGUAAAUUAACCUGCAUCGCUUAGUAUGUUCUGAUUAGUAUGUACGUGAUAUGCUUCAUCUAUAUGUGUAACAGGAUGUUUUAAAGUUAUUCAGCUCAAUUCAGCUAUAAUUAAUUUUUGAGAUGGGCCUGGAUAUGAAUGAGAGGAUUGUACCUCAAACGCCUCCAUGCAGCCAAGAGCAGUACUGUUGUCAACAUGAAGCGGUCGACAACGAGAUGGGCAUGACAACGCUCUUUUGCUUCCUUGAAAUCAAAGUAAGCACAAUCAUACUGAAAAUUUCCCUCAUGUCCUCCAUUUGGAACUUUCAAUCCUUAACACGCAUACCUUUCUGCUUUCUUUAGGUUCCAGAAAACAAGUGGUCAUUGCAUAAAGACUUUAAAAGAAAUUUUUACUCAUCAGUUACGAAUAAGUAAUGAAAAAAAGAUAACUGAAAACUAUAAACACUUUAUCAUUAGCCACCAAUUGAUAAGCAUGUAAUAAUAAUUAACUUGCAUGUUCACAUACAAUUCCACUAAGUUACAGAACAUCCGAAACAGAGAAUCACACAAUCACCAGUUUGUACGACAAGGUACCUUCCCUUCACAACCUGUUCUUAUCGCUUGCAUUCCUUCUUUUAUUUCUCACAAAAUAAUAUUCAUCUUUCCUGCAGAUGGAACAUUGUACCAACGAUCCCCUUCCAAUCACUCUUUGCAAAGGCGGCCUUGGAUCUCAUGACGAACUAAAUCACGACAGUGAGGUGCGAGCAACUACAUAACCCACUAUCAUCCUUUUUGAACUGCAUAUUUUACAACUAAAUAGUUUAUUCUAAUUUUCUGGUCAGGAAAAUCAAUCUAACAAUAAAGAGCUAACUACAAAGCAUACCAAGGAUGCUUCCACGUCUAAUUCCUUUGAGAAUGCGUGCAGAAUCUUUACAAGGAAAGAGAAAGGAACAAACUCCCAGUGAACAAGAUGCAAAAUCAAUAUACUCCAGUGGAUGUUUGCAUGAAUUGACGCUUGCGAUAAUAGGUUGCAUUGAGAUAGAAGUACAAGCAAGUAAAGGAAAUGCUUUUGCAAACGAGCAAAGGUUCUACAAGGACAUUCUGAAUACCAUAUAUCAUGCAUUAGAAAAUGCAUGCCAGACUGUCAUAACAGAUCUCAAGAACACAUGCAGGGUUCAGGUUGAUGAUCCAAAUUACACAGGAGUUGUGGCUCAAUGAAGAAAACCUCAUG
Molecule: long non-coding RNA, 2047 nt
Filed under: Hordeum vulgare
Lineage: Eukaryota; Viridiplantae; Streptophyta; Magnoliopsida; Poales; Poaceae
Description: long non-coding RNA (HVUL_LNC011036)
Source: RNAcentral